Long non-coding RNA from Perognathus longimembris pacificus (Pacific pocket mouse), 547 nucleotides. RefSeq lists it as uncharacterized. The record is from RefSeq and is a predicted model, not a curated record. NCBI's taxonomy places the organism in Eukaryota, Metazoa, Chordata, Mammalia, Rodentia, Heteromyidae. The transcript is spliced from 3 exons.
CCAUCCGGUGCUGACAACCCAGGCCUGUUUUAAACUUGGUCUCGCGUGCGCCCUCCCCUUUCGACCGCGCAGCCUUCCUCGGUGCAGUGGAAUUCAGAGGGCUGCUCAUGCUGAGGUCUGGUGCUUAAAAGAAUUGAAGAUUCUCAAGACAAGAUAUCUAAAACAGAUUUGGCUUCACCCCUUUAUGGGUGGAAGCAGGGCUGAACAUCUAGAAAUAUAUUUGAAUAUUUCAUGCCUCUUCCCUGUAGUUGGGUUGGCUCUCUUCAGUUCAGUCAGCAGCCAUAGUCUGAGAUUUUGGCACAGAACUAUUGGUGUUUUUACAACUGGGUUUUAUAUUGCUUUCACACUUUUCUAUCUUAGAUCAUUUUAGUGAUAAGAUUUGACUCCCUGAAGCACAUCUUGAUUCCCAGAGGUAAGAAGUUGAUUGCAAUGGAGCCUAAGAGAUUUUCUUUUUUAAAUGAGUUUGCAGCAUGACUGGUGGAGGUUGAAUCAUCAGAUCUUAACAGAAUCUAUUUUACUGGAUGAAAACUCAUAGUUCAAUAAAUAA